RNAcentral lists this long non-coding RNA (308 nucleotides) under Lathyrus oleraceus (garden pea). RNAcentral describes it as "Pisum sativum (pea) long non-coding RNA (PSAT_LNC040698)". Lineage: Eukaryota; Viridiplantae; Streptophyta; Magnoliopsida; Fabales; Fabaceae. The record is from RNAcentral.
CUUCUUCUUCCUUCCUUCUCUUUUCCUCUUUCUUUCUCUUCUUUUCUUCUCUUUCUUUUCCUUUUCCUUCCUGAUAUCUCUCACUCUCUCUUCUUCUAUUCUUAUCCUCUUCUUCUUUUCUUUCUCUACCACACAAUAUAUAUAUAAUAUAUAAUAUUAAGUAAUAACAAAAUAUCCCAAUUGAUAUUUCAUCCUCCAACACCAAUUGACCAAUUAUUAAUGUUACCAAAAAUAUCCUCUCUUGUAAUUAUUAAUAUUGGUCUGUCUCUUUAUUAAUAAUCAAUCUCUUCAGAGUUCACCGGUUACUC